AGUAAUACUGCUGGGUAGUAAGAUAAUCCUAUUUUUAAUUUUUAAGAAACUUCCAUGCUGUUUUCUAUAGUAGCUACACCAUUUCUUAUUUCCAUCAACAGU
Molecule: microRNA precursor, 102 nt
Filed under: Marmota monax (woodchuck)
Lineage: Eukaryota; Metazoa; Chordata; Mammalia; Rodentia; Sciuridae
Source: RNAcentral